GACGAACGCUGGCGGCGUGCCUAACACAUGCAAGUCGAGCGGAGAUCGAGGAGAGCUUGCUCAAAUUGAUUUUAGCGGCGGACGGGUGAGUAACGCGUGAGCAAUCUGUCCUACACAGGGGGAUAACAGCUGGAAACAGCUGCUAAUACCGCAUAAGACCACAGAACCACAUGGUACAGGGGUCAAAGAUUUAUCGGUGUAGGGUGAGCUCGCGUCCCAUUAGAUAGUUGGCGGGUAACGGCCCACCAAGGCGAUGACGGGUAGCCGGUCUGAGAGGAUGUCCGGCCACACUGGAACUGAGACACGGUCCAGACACCUACGGGUGGCAGCAGUCGAGAAUCAUUCACAAUGGGCGAAAGCCUGAUGGUGCGACGCCGCGUGGGGGAGGAAGGUCUUCGGAUUGUAAACCCCCGUCAUGUGGGAGCAAGACUUCGGUUUGAUAGUACCACAAGAGGAAGAGACGGCAAACUCUGUGCCAGCAGCCGACGG
Molecule: ribosomal RNA, 489 nt
Filed under: uncultured bacterium
Lineage: Bacteria
Description: bacterial SSU rRNA
Rfam family: Bacterial small subunit ribosomal RNA
Source: RNAcentral